CCUAAGCCGAGGCCGAAAGGCGUAGGCGAUGGACAAUCGGUUGAUAUUCCGAUACCACUACCAUCGUUAUUAUCGAGGGUGUGACGGAGAAGGAUAGUGUGUGCUAGCGAUUGGAAAUGCUAGUCUAAGCGUUUAGGGAGUUACGGUAGGCAAAUCCGCUGUAACAAUUCUGAGGCGUGAUGGGGAAGGCCAUAUAGGCCGAAGUACAUGAUUCCAUGCUUCCAAGAAAAGCAUCUAGAGAGAGAAGUAGUGCCCGUACCGCAAACCGACACAGGUAGAUGAGGAGAGAAUCCUAAGGCCGGCGGAAGAAUUGCAGUUAAGGAACUAGGCAAAUUGACCCCGUAAGUUCGCGAGAAGGGGUGCCUGCGAGAGCAGGCCGCAGAGAAUAGGCCCAAGCAACUGUUUAGCAAAAACACAGGUCUCUGCUAAAGCGUAAGCUGAUGUAUAGGGGCUGACGCCUGCCCGGUGCUGGAAGGUUAAGGGGAACACUUAGCGCAAGCGAAGGUGUGAACUUAAGCCCCAGUAAACGGCGGCCGUAACUAUAACGGUCCUAAGGUAGCGAAAUUCCUUGUCAGGUAAGUUCUGACCCGCACGAAUGGCGUAAUGACUUGGGCACUGUCUCAACUGCAAAUCCGGCGAAGUUGUAGUGCGAGUGAAGAUGCUCGCUACCCGCGAUUGGACGGAAAGACCCCGUAGAGCUUUACUGUAGCUUAGCAUUGAAUUCCGGUAUUGUCUGUACAGGAUAGGUGGGAGACUGGGAAACUAGGGCGUCAGCCUUAGUGGAGUCAACCUUGGGAUACCACCCUGACAGUACUGGGGUUCUAACAGGACGCCAUGAAUCUGGUGACUGGACAUUGUUAGGUGGGCAGUUUGACUGGGGCGGUCGCCUCCUAAAAAGUAACGGAGGCGCCCAAAGGUUCCCUCAGAACGGUCGGAAAUCGUUCGUAGAGUGCAAAGGCAGAAGGGAGCCUGACUGCGAGACAUACAAGUAGAGCAGGGACGAAAGUCGGGCUUAGUGAUCCGGUGGUACCUCGUGGGUGGGCCAUCGCUCAACGGAUAAAAGCUACCUCGGGGAUAACAGGCUGAUCUCCCCCAAGAGUCCACAUCGACGGGGAGGUUUGGCACCUCGAUGUCGGCUCGUCGCAUCCUGGGGCUGUAGUAGGUCCCAAGGGUUGGGCUGUUCGCCCAUUAAAGCGGCACGCGAGCUGGGUUCAGAACGUCGUGAGACAGUUCGGUCCCUAUCCGUCGCGGGCGUAGGAAAUUUGAGAGGAGCUGCCCUUAGUACGAGAGGACCGGGAUGGACUGACCUCUGGUGCACCAGUUGUUCCGCCAGGAGCAUGGCUGGGUAGCUAAGUCGGGAAGGGAUAAACGCUGAAAGCAUCUAAGCGUGAAGCCUCCCUCAAGAUGAGAUUUCCCAUAGCAUAAGCUAGUAAGACCCCUUGAAGAACACAAGGUUGAUAGGUCAGAGGUGUAAGUGCGGUAACGUAUUUAGCUGACUGAUACUAAUAGGUCGAGGGCUUGACC
Molecule: ribosomal RNA, 1524 nt
Filed under: metagenome
Description: bacterial LSU rRNA
Rfam family: Bacterial large subunit ribosomal RNA
Source: RNAcentral